RNAcentral lists this long non-coding RNA (3712 nucleotides) under Marmota monax (woodchuck). Lineage: Eukaryota; Metazoa; Chordata; Mammalia; Rodentia; Sciuridae. The record is from RNAcentral.
GGAACAAGUGGGCUCCCGGGCUGAGGGGAGGGUGUCCCUGAGGGGCGAGGGGUCCUGGGUGUGGUCCAGCUCCAGCCCUGGCGGAGUGUCAGGAGAGGCCCUCGUGCCCUCGGGUGGGAGAGAAGCCGCCCCCUGGUGCCAAGGCCCCAGGAGUCAGAGCAGAGGGUGGGACCUCGAGCACAGGGCCACACCACCCUCCCCAGGGGUUUCCUGUGGGAGGAAGGUCACAGUCCAUCCCACGCUUCAGGAGCCACAGGAGGACAAGGGUGCCUUGAGGUCAGGGGCAGAAGCCCACAUUCCAGCAGGUGAUGGCAGCUUGAAGGGGUGGAAAGAAACCCCGUCCGGGAGCCGGAGAGCAGCGCAGCUUCAGGGGAGGGGAGGCCCAGCCAGCCCACCCAGGGCAGACCCUCUGGGGCCCUUUGCCACCUCCGAGUCCCUGGAAGGCCAGUUGGAGUGUGCUUUAAGGCUUCAGUAAGGAGCUGCUUGCUUUACAGGGUGGGCUACAGCAAGAAGCUUGUCGGCCAAGACACAGAAGACGGUGUGCACAGGACCCCCAGCUCACAGCUUCACCUCCUGCACCUGGUCCUGUGUGGCUGGGAGCAGCUGUCAGCCUGGGAGAGACUCAAGAGCUUAGCUGCGCGGAUGGAGAUCCAGCGUGAACAGCCGUUAGCAUCUCCACCCCAGGGAUGCCACCGAAAUUGGGUGAUCAAUUUUUCAGUGACUUUAAUGGAAUAAUAUUUUCUUCUCCUUUGAAAUCAAUGUCUUCAAAACCACAGCUUUAGUUAGGUUAAAUAGUUACAGAAAGGGAGGCACAGGGUUAGUAAACACAGCGACGCAGGCUUUCUCCGGAAUCAAAGGUGUCAAAGAGCUGGGAGCCAUGGAUGGUUCUGUGCUCUCAGGAGAGAGCAGGGCUCACUCUCCCUUCAUUAAUCCCAGCCAGGAAGCACCGUGAGGGACUGUGAGCUGGGGAGGUGAGUGAGUGUGCUGUGUGAAUGUGGUUGUUCUACUCCACGGAGAGACGACGAAGCUGCUCUGCCUACAGGCAUCCACUGAGCACCCAUCGAGGCCUGAGCUUCCGCAGCUGGCCCCAUGGGUGCUGGGCCACCACGGAGGGCCUCUGGACCAGGACCUAUGUUCUGUUCCCUCACUGGCCGGAGGGGAGCGGGCAUUGUGAGUGCCACCUUCUGCAGGUGCCAACAGCCCUGCCCUGGAGAGCCUGGGCCCAGCCGGGUGCGCUUUGCACAGGGGCACUCCAGUCCCCGCAGGCCGAGGGAAGGUGGCCCAGUCAGGCUUAUCAUCAUGGUCGCUGUGGUUUGAGGGAGUCGGAAACCUCCUGGGCUCUCUCGAGGCCCUCUCACAGCCGGGGGGCACCUAAGUCGGGGAGGUGCUGGCCUCUGGCCACCCAGCCGAUCUCCUCUGAGCAGCAAGGGGGAUGAGCCCCCCAUGGAUGCCAGAGAGGCCCAGAGGUGACAGAGGACAUGACAGGUGUCACCUGGGGGAAUCCAGCAGGCCCAGCAGCAGCAGGGUCAGGGAAGGACGCUGGAGGAGCCCCGGAGGGCCAGUGGGGAAGGCUCCGGAGUGGGGGGCAGGGGCCCACCCUGCACGGCUCAGGGUAGGAUACCUGCCCACAGCCCUGGCCCCACAGAGGGACAGAGAAGCCACCACUCUGAGACAGGCUGGGCGAGGCAGCGACCGCGCCCUCCCGAAGGCUGCAACUGGAUGUGCGUGCCGCCUGGACACCUGCACAUGGCUGACCCCGAGCAAACCUUCUACCUUGCUUUUUAUUUCCAAUUAAAAACAUAUUAUUCCCACCAGAGAAAUCGGAGGAAACAUCAGAAAAGCAAGGAGAGUAAAACCCUCUGCUCUCUCCUGUGCUGAGCAGUUGGGGGAUGUGGCAGCAUGGGUAGGGUCUUGCACACCCGUGACCUGAAUUCCAGGAGACUGGACCCCAGGGGCAGGUGUCAGGGACACCAAACCCUCAACUAAUGGUGCCCGCGCCACAGGUGGGCCGGGUCGCCACACGCUCCGUACAAGCUGUUGAUGUCAAUUACGCAGCAAAAGCGCGAAUCCCAAGGUGGACGCUCCCAGAAACCCACGCACAGACGGACAGGAGCACGGCCAGCCUCGCAGCUCCUCCAUCUCGCUCAGUGAAGGCGCGCUGGGCCACCAGGCGGGGGGCGGACCCCGGGUGAUUCUGCAGGCAGAGGGCACACUGCGGGUGACACCCAGGAGUCUCUGGGAGAGGCCAGGAGAGCUGAGGACUGGGGCCACCGUGACCUUUCUUCUCAGUCGACAGAGAAGGGGGUCAGGCUGAGAGAGGACAGUCCUGCCUGUCCAGCGUGGUCCCAGGCUGGUUGGGACGCCAGGGCAGCCGCUGUGCGCCAGGGAGAGGAGCCGCCGGGCCGCGCGCUGUUGGGGACCGUCAGGAAUUUUCUUGCCCGGAGGAGGAGCCGCCAGUCCUGGCAGCCGGCGAGGCAGAGACGGGAGGCGUUCCAAUGGGAAACGGCUGAGGAGCCCCUGGUGCCGGUCAGCCCAACAUGCCCGGGGCCAUCACUGGGCUGGACUCUGUCUCCCAAGAAGGCACAAGGAUCUGAGCCUCUGAGACACUGGCCUCAAGCCUGGCCCCUUCCGCCCUCUUCUGUCUUCCUCCGUCUCAGAUCAAGCUGCUCCCCCAAGGCAUUUCUGCUUCUCAGAUCUGCAAGAAGCCACCGGGUGGGCUGUUGCGGUGACCAGAGGGGUCCUGAGCACGCGUCCUACCACAACCUUCCUGGACAGCCAGGGGAGGCUCUGGGGGGAACUCAGCCAGCUUCGCCCACCCUGAGGGAGAGUUCCAGGCCUGCAGAUGGGGCCGGGAACAGGGUCGGGGUCCAGCCAACUGACCUCCCACAGAAGCAAGAUGGUGAAUGUGUGGGACUCUGGCCUGGGCCUUGGCAGCCUGAGCAUGGAGCCCUACUCUGCAGCCCUUCCCUGGCCUGGGUCCUUGGUGGGAAGCCGCGCAGCCGCUCCAACCCUCAGGUUCCCCUCUGUCAACAGGGACCAGGACGCUAGCGCUGCAGGAUGAGCGUGCGGUGCCGGCUGCACAGUGCAGCACCCACUGUCCCCGCUCUCUGGCGCCUCCCCGCGUGCCUCUGGCCUUUCUCUUUCUUUGUUGAAAGACCGCCACCUUCCAGAGCUCCGGGAUGGUGGAAAGCAAGGACUGGGAGGAGAGGGUGCUGAACCCCAGGGGCCAGGCCUGGGGCGUGCCCACAGAGGCAGGUAGCAGUGGGAAGGGCAGCGGCCUGGCACAUCUGCCCCAGGCCCCACCUGCCCAGCAGAGGCCCGAGCCAAGCCAUGUGUCUUACAGGUGGGUCUGGGUUUGGGGCACCCGUGGGCACCUCUGACUCUGUCCAGCUUGUGGCUGUGGACACUGGAGAGGUCAGCCUGGGCCAGUCCUUCACCACGUCCUCUCACAAGGGCUUCCAGCUCCCCAGAACCUAUCUCCUCUCCGCCCAGGGCUGGGAAGUGCCCCUUGCACUCUGACCGCAGGGCCUCCUCAGCCUGGCCCAGGGCGGCUGUCUUUCCUCAAACGCCCUUUGCAGCCAGAUGCCGAAGCGAGAUGACAUCCAGCAUGGGCUAAGACGUGAUCCUGACACAUUUAAAAUAACUUCUACUAAUUGGGCUCAUUGCUCAUCUUUUCCUACCACGUUCGUAAAUUGCGUUUAAUUGUUUUUGG